GUAGGUGAACCUGCGGAAGGAUCAUUAGUGAUUGCCAUCUUGGCUUAAACUAUAUCCAUCUACACCUGUGAACCGUUUGAUUGAAUCUUCUGAUUCAAUUUUACAAACAUUGUGUAAUGAACGUCAUUAGAUCAUAACAAAAAAAAACUUUUAACAACGGAUCUCUUGGCUCUCGCAUCGAUGAAGAACGCAGCAUCUGACUGACUCGACAGCUG
This 215-nucleotide unclassified non-coding RNA is filed under the name plant metagenome. RNAcentral's name for it is "partial contains small subunit ribosomal RNA, internal transcribed spacer 1, and 5.8S ribosomal RNA". The stretch from base 146 to 215 matches the Rfam family "5.8S ribosomal RNA", at positions 1 to 55 of the family's 154-position model. The record is from RNAcentral.